GACGAACGCUGGCGGCGUGCUUAACACAUGCAAGUCGAACGGAAAGGCCCUGCUUUUGUUGGGUGCUCGUGUGGCGAACGGGUGAGUAACACGUGAGUAACCUGCCCUUGACUUUGGGAUAACUUCAGGAAACUGGGGCUAAUACCGGAUAGGAUCUCCUGCUGCAUGGUGGGGGUUGGAAAGUUUCGGCGGUUGGGGAUGGACUCGCGGCUUAUCAGCUUGUUGGUGUGGUAGUGGCUUACCAAGGCUUUGACGGGUAGCCGGCCUGAGAGGGGUAACGGCCACAUGGGGACUGAGAGACGGCGCAGAAGCCAACGGGAGGCAGCAGUGGGGAAUAUUGCACAAUGGGCGGAAGCCUGAUGCAGAAACGCCGCGUGCGGGAUGACGGCCUUCGGGUUGUAAACCGCUUUCGCCUGUGACGAAGAGUGAGUGACGGUAAUGGGUAAAGAAGCACCGGCUAACUACGUG
Molecule: ribosomal RNA, 468 nt
Filed under: uncultured bacterium
Lineage: Bacteria
Description: partial 16S ribosomal RNA
Rfam family: Bacterial small subunit ribosomal RNA
Source: RNAcentral